This 643-nucleotide ribosomal RNA is filed under the name Mucor irregularis. Its description in RNAcentral is "eukaryotic LSU rRNA". The stretch from base 249 to 401 matches the Rfam family "5.8S ribosomal RNA". The record is from RNAcentral. Lineage: Eukaryota; Fungi; Mucoromycota; Mucoromycetes; Mucorales; Mucoraceae.
AAAGAUCCUUCCGUAGGUGAACCUGCGGAAGGAUCAUUAAAUAAUUUGAGUAUGCUUAUGCAUAUUUCUAAUUUACUGUGAACUGUUUUACUGUUUAGCGUUUUGAGGGAUUGCCUAAAGAUUAUAGGGAUAGGUCUUUAGGAUGUUAACCUAGCUAAAGUCAGGCUUAGGCCUGGUAUCCUAAUUCAUUAUUUACCAAAAGAAUUCAGAAUUAAUAUUGUAACAUAAGCGUAAAAAACUUAUAAAACAACUUUUAACAACGGAUCUCUUGGUUCUCGCAUCGAUGAAGAACGUAGCAAAGUGCGAUAACUAGUGUGAAUUGCAUAUUCAGUGAAUCAUCGAGUCUUUGAACGCAUCUUGCGCUCAAUGGUAUUCCAUUGAGCACGCCUGUUUCAGUAUCAACAACAACCCACAUCCACAAUUUUGUUGUGAAUGGAAGUGAGAGUAUCGAUGUAAAAAUUGAACUCUUUAAAACUAUUAGGCCUGAACUAUUGUUCUAUUAGCCUGAACAUUUUUUUAAUAUAAAGGAAUGCUCUAGUUAAAAGACUAUCUUGGGGGCCUCCCAAAUAAAUCAUUUUUUUAAACUUGAUCUGAAAUCAGGUGGGAUUACCCGCUGAACUUAAGCAUAUCAAUAAGCGGAGGA